Molecule: non-coding RNA, 4377 nt
Organism: Taeniopygia guttata (zebra finch)
Lineage: Eukaryota; Metazoa; Chordata; Aves; Passeriformes; Estrildidae
Source: RefSeq, a predicted model, not a curated record
GCUUCCCGCGCCCCACAACUCUCUCCCGGCUACGGCGAGCGGCGAGCGGCACAAAGAGCCGGCGCAGCCGGGGGGCGCAGCGGCCCCUGCCCUUCCCCGCAGAGCCGGGGGCAGAUGAGGGAGAGCCCCGGCCUGGAACUGCUCCCCCCGCUCCCCUUGCCCUUCCCCGCAGAGCCGGGGGCAGGAAGCGAACCCCGUUGUCAACAACCCGUUGUCCCCAAGAACUGCACCCUCCUUCCCAGUUCCAGGAGGGUUCGACGAUCUUUCAGAAUCUGAAGUGGAGGAAUCUGAGGACCACACACCUAUAGUUGAAUCCCCACCAUCUCUGGAUGACUUACCUGGCGUGGAAGCACCAGCAUCUGUGGCCCAGCCAUCUGUAGUGGAAUUGUCAGUAUCUGCAGACCAGCUGGCUGUCAAGGAGCCACCACGUUCUGAUCACCACUUCCUGCUCAUUGUAUAGUCUGCAUCCAGGGAAAGCUCACCUGAGAUCAGAUCACCUGUGGGUGAACUUCCAGGUUUCAAAGUCAAGAUGCACACCUCCAAAUCCACACAGGAUGGCAGUAACACCAUUGAGAAUGUGUUGGCAGCAACAGAGAUUACAUUUGAAUCAUUGGAGAAUCCAGAGGUUUUUGGAGACCCCUAUCAACUUGCCAUGAAUUAUGCAGAGGAACAUAAAAUUCUACAGAUAUUUCAGGAUAUCACAGAAAAACUGCUGUUCCAUAAGCCUGAUGACCCCUUGCAGUUCAUAUUGCAGGAGGUGCAGUCUAUGAUAAAUGCCAGGCAAGCAGAAGCGGAGAAACUAUCAGACUAGAACAAAGAUGUGAAGGUGCUUCUAGAAGAGGUCUUGUGCACUCCUUUUGGCCCUCACUGACCUUGCUGUUGUGGUAUUGCCACACCAUGCCUUCACAGCACCAUGUAGUCAUUAGCAAUAACUUGGAAAAGAUUGCUUUGCUGUUUCUUGCCUGGUUUCUCUGUUUUGUAUGCUUGUGCUUCCUCCUCCCCUUGGGUUUCAAUCCUGCAACCAAGUUUUGGUUUGGAACCACAGACUGAGAUCUAAGCGUGCAUGGAUCUUCAUGCACAUAUGGCACAUCUUGAAGAGGCAGGUCUGCUGAACUUCUAGGCAUAUAAAUGCAUAAAUCUCAUAUUUGGUCCUCUCCACACUCUGCCUCUCUGUGCAAAGAAACUUCACAGCUCAGACAGUGAGAGGACAAAAGCAAGUAGAGUUAAAAAAACAGCCCUGGACAACCCACAGUGUUCUUUUUUCAUGCUGCAUCGGUGGCUUACUGUAUCCAGCUAUGCAGCAGCACCAAUGCAUAUCUCGUACUUUGAUAGUUUGUGUCUGGGCUUUCCCACUACCCCCAGAGCUCCUCUGAUGCUAGAAGCUGUCUCUUUGCCUCUUCCACACACUGGAUACAGCUGUCUCACCCUAAAUCAUCCCUGCUGGACACUGAUCACUCUGUUUUUUGGGGUGGCCCUGCCUGUAUCAUUGUAAGUACAGUGUAUAACCAGAACAGUAAAGCAACAGUUGCACACACCCUUUAUGCUUUCAGGAGACAUUUUCACUCAGGAAUGUGGGAGGUGAAUAAAAGCAAACAAACCAAAACCAAGCACUGGUAGCUCAGAGGAUUAAGAGUCAAGGUACAUUUCACAAGCACAUCAUUUGAACUGUGUUAUACACAAACGGCAAUGCCUGUGAACUGUGUUUAAUUUUUGAAACACUUACAGUCCUUAUUUUCAUACCAUCCAUGUGUCUGCUUCUAAUCUGUAAAAAAAACUUUUUUCUUUCUUUUUCUUGUCUCUUGCCUGACAAUUAUUGAAAAUGUGCAACAGAGCGUACUGUUAUUUGGCUUAAUAGAUUAUCUACAUGAAAUAGAUGUCAGAAAGGGUUUUUAUGUCUCUACAGGCUUUUCCCUUUUUUAGGCAUGUGCUCUAAUUUCCUGAUGAAUGGUGUGUAUUCCCAAAUGACUGUUUCUAUGGCUAUGAAGAGAGCACCAUAAAAACUUUCAUCUAUCUAUUUUUUAAAAAAAAUAAUGUAUGAGGAUUGGGUUGUGUGGUUCUACACAGCACAGCUUGGGCGCCAAAAGUCUGGGAAUAACAGAGGGCAAGUAUUUGGCAUACAAAUUCCAUGUGUGAGAUGAGUUUCCUUUCUAUCUGAGUUUCUCAAAAAGGAUCAGUUAACUCACAUGUUUCAAGAUUGAAGGCAGGUAACCCCUGUCAUUCAUAGGGAAGGGACUUUUUCAAGGUUAUUGUGAGCCUAAAGAUGGCUCAAGAUUCAGAUUAAAUCUUGAUUGGUUUAAUAAUAGUUUUAAUGUAGACUUAGGCAUCUAGGUCCCACUGCAGCAGUGAUAUGGUUUUGAAAUCCUUACUUAUCUCCAGCAACUGGAAAAAUCUGACAGUGAGAAUCUGAGACUGAUCUGCAUACAAAUUCUUGACCAAAAAUGUAUCAGGCUGAAAAAUUAUGCAUACGUGCCCUGUCCUAAUGUACCUCUGUGGAACAGGAAAUGUAUGGAAGCUGAAGAUAGUGUCUGAAGCCUUCUCAUCUCUAUGGUCAUUUGUCAGCACAUUGUCCCAGGAGACAGAGAAGCUGACAUGUCUCUGAAUUUUAUUGCAGAACAGGAUUAGGGUGCCUUGGGGUACAGCCUUCACUGUGUAUUUCCUGCCUCUGUCAUUUGAGUAUUGCAGUUGGUUUUUGUCUUUUGCUUAUGAAAAGCUUUUGACCUGUAAUAUGUUCUCAGACUAUAAGUAUAUGCCUUCAACUUCAUGUCAGCAUUAAGGGAGUUAUGCAAGGUAACAUCCUUAAUUCCUAUCUCAGGUAGGUUGAAAUGAGCUGGAAAGCAGUCUUCUUACAGAUGACAGAAGUUUUGCAAGAGAGGCCAUACCCGGUGUUCCUCAGUAAUCUCAGGGUCACAAUUUUCCUUUGGUGGCCUGGUCACCUCAUCUCACGCUAACAAAGUUGCUGUGUGGCUGCAAGAAUUCCUCCCCAGUACACAUAAGAGAGAGCAUCUGUCUUGUCUCUUUCUCAGAAAAGAGAAUCAGUGUUUUCUGUUCUUUUCUUUCUGUUAAGGAGAGGUCUUUCUCCUUUGAGGACCAGUUUUCUGGAGAUGAAUGAGGCUGUACCCAGGACAAGCUCUGUGGGCCUGGAGUUGGUAUGUGUAGAUGGCAUGAGACUGGGGAAGACAGUGGGCCAAGGAAAAUCCUUUGGCAUUCAGAGUUUGGUGGGGAAGGGUGUAUAUAAUCUCUGAGCAAGGGCCUAGAUCAAAAUUCUUGGGGAGCUUACCAUGAGCUAGGGAGAAAUGUCACUUCCUUCACCUCAAACCUCUCAGUGAUAAAACUUAAUUUUAUAAAAACAAAUAAAAAAAGAUCCUCCAGAAUGUUUGCAGAUUACAGUGUUUACGGUAGUGUCACACAGCUGUAUUUUUUUAUCUGCUUCAGAAUUAUUCUGAAAACUACACUCUAGCUCUAGAAAAAAAAAUCUACUUCACAUUAAGGCACUGCUGUUUGUGUAUAAGAAGUCUUUUCUGUGCUGAAGAAAAGAAGAAAAGUAAGAUUUAAAAUGGAAACUUUUACUGUAGCCUUAAUUCCAGAGUGACUGUCCCUUUUCCACAAUUUCUUUCCAAAACCAUUGGAUCUUUAUUUCUUUUUUGUAAGUGGACAUUUAUCAACAUGACAUUAAACUGUCAUUAAGUUUCUUGCCUUGAGUGCUCAGAAGGAAUUAGCAGUUCCUCGUGUGUAACCGAAACUCUUCCAUAUAAGUCCUUACGGCCCACUAGUCACAGCACAUCUGAAUGCCCUCCAGAGUGCUAAGCAACGUGACUAACAUCUGCUGUUUGCUCUUUCUCCUCUCCAGAAGGGAAAUGGCUGUGCACUGAAGUGCAUUCUUUUAGAAAGGGUGGUUUGGGAUUUUUUUACCACACCUAUGUAUCUCUGUGUGCUUCUAAUGGAUAAGUCAUGAAGUGGAAGGUGUGGAAGUUAGAAGUAAUUUGUAGUUCCCAAGGAUGAUUCCUCUGCAGUAUGAGCUGGGUACUGAGAAAACACAUUAUUUUCAAGGAAGAGAUUUUUUUGUUCCGUGGACAGGCACAGAGGUGCAACACCCAGUUAAUCUGCCAAAUGGCAUGGUCUUACGGUGCCCAGACUGUUUCUGUUGUGAACCUUGUGCUCCUCCAGAGGCAGGACACAGAGGAUCCAAUCAGGAAGAAAGUGCAGUCCCUGUAAAAUAGAGCUCUCAGACCAAAACACCAGUUUCUUUUUCUGCCAUCUCUGUAUGGAACUUGAAAAGACACAGCUGCCCCAAGCAAUACUGAAGUUGCCUGUGUACUGCUUCUAACCAAUGGGGGGAAAAAAGUUGUAGCAGCUGAUUAAAAAUCUUUUGAAAAUUCA